GGAGAAAAGCAGGGGAUCGCAAGGCCUUGCGCUUUUGGAGCGGCCGAUGCCUGAUUAGCUUGUUGGUGAGGUAAAAGCUCACCAAGGCUUCGAUCAGUAGCUGGUCUGAGAGGACGACCAGCCACACUGGGACUGAGACACGGCCCAGACUCCUACGGGAGGCAGCAGUGGGGAAUUUUGGACAAUGGGGGCAACCCUGAUCCAGCCAUGCCGCGUGAGUGAAGAAGGCCUUCGGGUUGUAAAGCUCUUUCAGCCGGAACGAAACGGUUACGGUUAAUACCCGUGACUACUGACGGUACCGGAAGAAGAAGCACCGGCUAACUACGUGCCAGCAGCCGCGGUAAUACGUAGGGUGCAAGCGUUAAUCGGAAUUACUGGGCGUAAAGCGUGCGCAGGUGGUUUUGUAAGUCAGAUGUGAAAUCCCCGGGCUUAACCUGGGAACUGCGUUUGAAACUACAAAGCUAG
Molecule: ribosomal RNA, 465 nt
Filed under: uncultured bacterium
Lineage: Bacteria
Description: bacterial SSU rRNA
Rfam family: Bacterial small subunit ribosomal RNA
Source: RNAcentral